RNAcentral lists this ribosomal RNA (369 nucleotides) under uncultured eukaryote. RNAcentral describes it as "partial 18S ribosomal RNA". It matches the Rfam family "Eukaryotic small subunit ribosomal RNA", at positions 592 to 976 of the family's 1831-position model. The record is from RNAcentral.
CAAUAGCGUAUAUUAAAGUUGUUGCAGUUAAAAAGCUCGUAGUUGAAAUUUUAGUCUCUCUUACCGCAACAUAUCGCUUACGGCUAGAAAGUCUAAUACUCGCAAAGAUACCUCUGCUCAUUAAUUUGGGCGGUUGUGGAGUUGCGUCGUUUACUGUGAACAAAUUAGGGUGUUUAAGGCAAGCUUUAGUUUGAAUACAUUAGCAUGGAAUAAUAAGAUAUGAUUUUGAAAGUAUUUUGUUGGUGACAUUCGAAAUAAUGAUAAAUAGGAACAGUUGUGGGUAUUCGUAUGAGCAUGUCAGAGGUGAAAUUCUUGGAUUUUGAUCAGACGAACUACUGCGAAAGCAUUUACCAGGGAUGUUUUCAUUAA